GACAAAUGAAGAUAUCGAUUUGUUUCCUAAUUGUAUAAUGAGUACUUAAUUGUAAUCAGAUAUCAUAAAAACUUAUGAGUUUUUUAAUGAGGUUAUAAAAAAAUACAAACAUAUUCAUUCAUUGAAAAUUUGUGAAGGUGCUAAAUAGGAAGUUAAAAAGUACAUAUUUCGAUAUGCAUCAGAUUAGUUUGUUGCUAAUUUUAAUAUAACCAUAGUGGAAAUCCAAGUUUUUUAUUAAAAUAAAAUAAUAACCAAACUUAUUCUUAAAAUAGUGAAAGGUGUUGAGUAAAAAUUGUAUUAUGAAAAUUGAAACGAAUAUAUUUUCGAUUUUUUUGGACAAAAGUAUCAAAGAUUCGCUACAGUUUCUGCAAGUAAAAAGUUUUUACUGUUUGACGAUGAUAACAUUCUUAAAUUUUGCAAAGCAAACAAACUAAGAAAAAUACAGAAAAUCAAGGAGAUUACAAAAUUGUUAACAUAAUCAGUUUAAUAUUUUAUGAGUGACAUAUCAUUUAUUGGCAAAUCUUUCUCCAAAAUUGUCAUUGAGAUUAAUAAUGCCAGCAUGAAUUCCAACCGACUUUAUUAUGGAUUGAUAAGAGAUGUUUAAUGUUACAAAUCUCUAUUACAAUAAUGCAGUAAUAAUUUUGUUUCCAAUCGUAAAAGGUGCUAGAAUACAAUACCGAUCAGGCAGCCUUAGUUGUUGUUAUUGUUGUGCAACUUGCAAGACAACAUUAGGAUCAUUUUCCCAUUGAAUCAUUGGUGAUAGGCCUGGUUGAAUUCUCCAAUGUCCACCAUUAUACAGUGUAUGAACGUGGCGUAUAUUUCGUAUUAAUUCAACAAUACGAUCCAUGCUGACUGGCCCAACACAACUAUUAUCACUCAAUACAUUCUGAUUAUGAAUGUAGCCCACCAUAAGGGAGUUCAACUCACGUAAUCUUCUGAAAUUGUUUGGAUCAACAAUCUCUACAGCAUCUGAUUCAAAAUCAUUUGAUGGAUCAUCAUGGCGACUUGAUGGGCCUAUAAAAAUAUUUCCUGGCAUCCAUAUAUAUCUAGAAAUAAAAGACUCGAAGGAAUCCAUAAGCAAAGCAACUGGAAUUAUAUGAUGUCUAGCGGCGUUAACCACUUCGUUCGGUCCCAAUUGAAUUUGCAUUAUGCUACCAAUGACUCUUCUACCAUCUGGUCGUGAAUUUAUAUACAAUGGAGAUGUGUAGUAUUCGUCCCAUUCUCCUCCAGAGAAAACUGGACAACCGGCUGAGCUUUGUGUUACAUUAGGACGAAUAGCAAUAGAAACACCACAUAAAGUAAUUAAGGUGAAAAAUAAUCGUAACAUGAUGAAGACUGUACAACGAACGACUGUUGAUGUGCUGCUAUAUGAGUAGGAUUUAUAUACACUUGCUCGUGGCGGCAGCAGUGUAAUACUUUGCAUAAACACCGAUAAGAGACAAAUGUGUAUUAAGUGCAGAUAGAAAAAAACGUAUUUGAAAAAUGUUUGGUUUAAAAUGAAUUUUUUCUAAUCUUUUACUAUCUAUAGUUGUUAAAUUUUGUACUGAUAUUUAAAAACAAACUGUAUCACUAAGACAUAUAAA
This 1583-nucleotide long non-coding RNA is filed under the name Chelonus insularis. Its description in RNAcentral is "uncharacterized LOC118069726, transcript variant X1". The record is from RNAcentral. Lineage: Eukaryota; Metazoa; Arthropoda; Insecta; Hymenoptera; Braconidae.